RNAcentral lists this ribosomal RNA (799 nucleotides) under uncultured archaeon. RNAcentral's name for it is "bacterial SSU rRNA". It matches the Rfam family "Archaeal small subunit ribosomal RNA", at positions 51 to 856 of the family's 1478-position model. The record is from RNAcentral.
AUGCGAGGCGCGAGAUUUCGGAUCUCGCCUGACUGCUCAGUAACACGUAGUCAACCUACCCUCGAGACGAGGAUAACCCCGGGAAACUGGGAUUAAUAUUCGAUAGGGGAGAGGUACUGGAAUGUCCUUUCUCUGAAAUGCUCCGGCGCUCGAGGAUGGGACUGCGGUGGAUUAGGUUGUUGGGGGUGUAACGGACCUCCGAGCCUAUAAUCCAUACGGGCGUUGAGAGACGGAGCCCGGAGAUGGACUCUGAGACACGAGUCCAGGCCCUACGGGGCGCAGCAGGCGCGAAACUUUUACAAUGUCUGUAAGGACGAUAAAGGGAUCCCAAGUGCCUUAGCAUUGCUAAGGCUUUUCUAGAGUGUAAAGAGCUCCAGCAACAAGGGGUGGGAAAAACGGGUGCCAGCCGCCGCGGUAAUACCCGUGCCCCAAGUGGUGGCCACGAUUAUUGGGCCUAAAGCGUCCGUAGCCGGCCGGAUGGGUCCCCGGUGAAAUCCUGCGUAAAAACGUAGGGCUUGCCGAGGAAACUAUCCGGCUUGGGACCGGGAGAGGUCGAGGCUACUCCUGGGGUAGCGGUAAAAUGCUGUAACCCCAGGAGGAGCGCCUGUGGCGAAAGCGCUCGACUGGAACGGCUCCGACGGUGAGGGACGAAAGCCAGGGGAGCAAAGCGGAUUAGAUACCCGCGUAGUCCUGGCCGUUAACGAUGCCCGUUUGGUGUAGCACCUCCUACGAGGAGGUGCUGUGCCGUAGCAUAGUGUUAAACGGGCCGCCCGGGGAGUACGUCCGCAAGGAUGAAACU